GAUGAACGCUGGCGGCGUGCCUAAUACAUGCAAGUCGAGCGAACAGACGAGGAUCUUGCUCCUCUAACGUUAGCGGCUGACGGGUGAGUAACACGUGUAUAACCUACCUAUAAUACUUGGAUAACUUCGGGAAACCGUAGCUAAUACCGGAUAAUAUAUUUAACCGCAUUGUUCAAUAGUGAAAUACGGUUUUGCUGUCACUUAUAGAUGGUUCCGCGCCGCAUUAGCUAGUUGGUAAGGUAACAGCUUACCAAGGCAACGAUGCGUAGCCGACCUGAGAGGGGGAUCGGACACACUGGAACUGAGAAACGGUCCAGACUCCUACGGGAGGCAGCAGUAGGGAAUGUUCCGCAAUGGGCGAAAGCAUGACGGAGCAAAGCCGAGUGAGUGAUGAAGGUCUUCGGAUCGUAAAACUCUGUUAGUAGGGAAGAAAAAAUGUGUAAGUAACUAUGCACGUAUUGACGGUACCUAAUCAGAAAGCAACGGCUAACUACGUG
This 497-nucleotide ribosomal RNA is filed under the name uncultured bacterium. RNAcentral's name for it is "partial 16S ribosomal RNA". It matches the Rfam family "Bacterial small subunit ribosomal RNA", at positions 28 to 507 of the family's 1533-position model. The record is from RNAcentral.